UAAUACAGAGGUCCCGAGCGUUGUUCGGAUUCACUGGGCGUAAAGGGUGCGCGGGUGGUUGGGCAAGUUUGAUGUGAAAUCUCCGGGCUUAACCCGGAAACUGCAUUGAAAACUGCCUGGCUGGAGGAUUGGAGGGGGGACUGGAAUUCUCGGUGUAGCAGUGAAAUGCGUGGAUAUCGAGAGGAACACCAGUGGCGAAGGCGAGUCCCUGGACAAAUCCUGACACUGAGGCACGAAAGCCGGGGGAGCAAACAGGAUUAGAUACCCUGGUAGUCCCGGCUGUAAACGGUGCGCGUUUGCUGUAAGAGGAAUCGACCCCUUUUGUGGCGAAGCUAACGCGAUAAACGCGCCGCCUGGGGAGUACGGUCGCAAGAUUAAAACUCAAAGGAAUUGACGG
This 397-nucleotide ribosomal RNA is filed under the name uncultured bacterium. RNAcentral's name for it is "bacterial SSU rRNA". It matches the Rfam family "Bacterial small subunit ribosomal RNA", at positions 521 to 916 of the family's 1533-position model. The record is from RNAcentral.